This 819-nucleotide small RNA is filed under the name Histoplasma capsulatum. Its description in RNAcentral is "hypothetical RNA". Lineage: Eukaryota; Fungi; Ascomycota; Eurotiomycetes; Onygenales; Ajellomycetaceae. The record is from RNAcentral.
ACCACACGCACCCAGACAGCAGAUAUUUAACAUUUGUUCCACUUAGCGAUUUCUCGUCAGCUGCUUGAUCUUUUGCGGGCAAGUCGCGGAACGUGCGCUUCCAUUAGUGCCCUUCAGCUCCCGAGUGCAUACAUAGGUUUGUUGUCCCAGGCAAAGGAUCACAUUCCUCCCGAAUAAUCAACCUGUUUGGAAAACAUUAAAAUCAGAAAAAGGCCAGGAAAGAAAUAUGCCUGACUUCUCAAUGGAUAUGCUUUGUAAUUUAUAUUGAUUCGACGACGGCGGGUUAAAACUAUUCAUCAACUAAGACUCAGCCAUAAGGAAUGCCUGAGAUAAUUGCUAUUACGACAAGGUAUUUUGCAAGGCUACACUGCUUCGCCGCCCCUCUCCUCCUAAUAUUUCGGGAAAGGAAACUUGCACGUUUCUAGGAGAAAGGAGAGACAGAGAAAAAAGAGAAAAUCCCAGCUUAUAUAUAUCAAGAAGACCCCAUUGUGAACGCCAUUGUCUUGCGCCCUCUUUUCCUGUGAGAAAAAAAUAAUAAUGAUAAACGCACGACGCAACAACUCUCCCUCCACCCCCAUCCAGAGAAGGAAGAUACAAGGCCAAUAAAAAAAAAAAAAAAAAAGGGCAAAAAGAAAAGAGAAGAGAAAAGCGCAAGAGAAACGGUCCACUAAACCCCAAGCCAGUAUCGCAGAGGUCAUAAUGAAUCAUACAUGAAAACAAUCCCAUCCCCUCACAACAACCUAUACACAACUAUCGAUUUUUCAGCCCUAGGCACAAUCCAAUACCUCUCCUGUUACCAAAAUUAUAAAACAUAGAACC